Molecule: ribosomal RNA, 1176 nt
Filed under: uncultured Verrucomicrobiota bacterium
Lineage: Bacteria; Pseudomonadati; Verrucomicrobiota
Description: bacterial SSU rRNA
Rfam family: Bacterial small subunit ribosomal RNA
Source: RNAcentral
GACAUGCAAGUCGAACGAGAUCCUUAGCAAAGCUUGCUUUGCUAAGUCUAGUGGCUGAACGGGUGAGUAACACGUGAGCAACCUGCCCAGAAGCAGGGGAUAAGCCACCGAAAGGUGGUCUAAUACCGUAUGUGAUACCAAGAGGCAUCUCUUGGAUAUUAAAGGGGGGGACCUUCGGGCCUCUCACUUCUGGAUGGGCUCGCGGCCUAUCAGCUUGUUGGUGAGGUAACGGCUCACCAAGGCAACGACGGGUAGCUGGUCUGAGAGGACGACCAGUCACACUGGAACUGAGACACGGUCCAGACACCUACGGGUGGCAGCAGUCGAGAAUCAUUCACAAUGGGCGAAAGCCUGAUGGUGCGACGCCGCGUGGAGGAUGACAGCCCUAGGGUUGUAAACUCCUGUCAUGAGAGAGUAAAGACUUAACGUUAACACCGUUGGGUCCUGAUAGUAUCUCAAGAGGAAGGGACGGCUAACUUCGUGCCAGCAGCCGCGGUAAUACGAAGGUCCCAAGCGUUGUUCGGAAUUACUGGGCGUAAAGCGUGCGUAGGUGGCAUGGUAAGUCAGAUGUGAAAUCCCGGGGCUCAACCCCGGAACUGCAUCCGAUACUGCCAAGCUAGAGUAGUGGAGGGGAGUCUGGAAUUCACGGUGUAGCAGUGAAAUGCGUAGAUAUCGUGAGGAACACUAGUGGCGAAGGCGAGACUCUGGACACUAACUGACACUGAGGCACGAAGGCUAGGGUAGCGAAAGGGAUUAGAUACCCCUGUAGUCCUAGCAGUAAACGGUGCGCGUUUGGUGUGGGCGGGUUCGACCCCGUCCGUGCCGAAGCUAACGCGUUAAACGCGCCGCCUGGGGAGUACGGUCGCAAGGCUAAACUCAAAGAAAUUGACGGGACUCGCACAAGCGGUGGAGUAUGUGGCUUAAUUCGAUGCAACGCGAAGAUCUUACUAGGCUUGACAUGCUUGUCGUAGUCUGUGAAAGCAGAUCGUCAGUUCGCUGGACUGCACAGUGCUGCAUGCUGUCGUCAGCUCGUGUCGUGAGAUGUUGGUAAGUCCGCAACGAGCGCAACCCCUAUGAAUAGUGCAGCGAGUAUGUCGGAUCUAGUCGACUGCUGUAUAAACAGGAGACGUGGGGACGACGUCAAGUCAGUAUGGCCCUAACGCUAAGGGCUGACAC